GCCCCCAUCGUCUAGUGGCCCAGGAUGCAGGAUUCUCAGUCCUGAGACCGGGGUUCAAAUCCCCGUGGGGGUGC
This 74-nucleotide transfer RNA is filed under the name Maioricimonas rarisocia. RNAcentral's name for it is "Planctomycetes bacterium Mal4 tRNA-Glu". It matches the Rfam family "tRNA". Rfam says of the family: Transfer RNA (tRNA) molecules are approximately 80 nucleotides in length. Their secondary structure includes four short double-helical elements and three loops (D, anti-codon, and T loops). Further hydrogen bonds mediate the characteristic L-shaped molecular structure. tRNAs have two regions of fundamental functional importance: the anti-codon, which is responsible for specific mRNA codon recognition, and the 3' end, to which the tRNAs corresponding amino acid is attached (by aminoacyl-tRNA synthetases). tRNAs cope with the degeneracy of the genetic code in two manners: having more than one tRNA (with a specific anti-codon) for a particular amino acid; and 'wobble' base-pairing, i.e. permitting non-standard base-pairing at the 3rd anti-codon position. The record is from RNAcentral. Lineage: Bacteria; Pseudomonadati; Planctomycetota; Planctomycetia; Planctomycetales; Planctomycetaceae.